This 912-nucleotide ribosomal RNA is filed under the name uncultured archaeon. RNAcentral describes it as "bacterial SSU rRNA". It matches the Rfam family "Archaeal small subunit ribosomal RNA", at positions 1 to 921 of the family's 1478-position model. The record is from RNAcentral.
UCCGGUUGAUCCCGCCGGAGGUUACUGCUAUCGAGGUUCGACUAAGCCAUGCGAGUCGAAUGUAGCAAUACAUGGCGUACUGCUCAGUAACACGUGGAUAACCUACCCUUGAGAUGGGGAUAAACCCGGGAAACUGGGUAUAAUACCCAAUAGAUCUCGACUGCUGGAAUGCAUCGAGCUCCAAAGCUUUGGCGCUCAAGGAUGGAUCUGCGGCCUAUCAGGUAGUAGUGGGUGUAGCGUACCUACUAGCCUACGACGGGUACGGGUUGUGAGAGCAAGAGCCCGGAGAUGGAUUCUGAGACACGAAUCCAGGCCCUACGGGGUGCAGCGGGCGCGAAAACUUUACAAUGCUGGAAACAGCGAUAAGGGGACCUCGAGUGCCAGGUUACAAAUCUGGCUGUCGUGAUGCCUAAAAAGCAUUGCAUAGCAAGGGCCGGGCAAGACCGGUGCCAGCCGCCGCGGUAACACCGGCGGCUCGAGUGGUAACCGUUAUUAUUGGGUCUAAAGGGUCUGUAGCCGGCCGGAUAAGUCUCUUGGGAAAUCUGGCAGCUUAACUGUCAGGCUUUCAGGAGAUACUGUCUGGCUCGAGGCCGGGAGAGGUGAGAGGUACUUCAGGGGUAGGGGUGAAAUCUUGUAAUCCUUGAAGGACCACCAGUGGCGAAGGCGUCUCACCAGAACGGACCUGACGGCAAGGGACGAAAGCUAGGGGCACGAACCGGAUUAGAUACCCGGGUAGUCCUAGCCGUAAACGAUACUCGCUAGGUGUCGGCAACGGUGCGACCGUUGUCGGUGCCGUAGGGAAGCCGUGAAGCGAGCCACCUGGGAAGUACGGCCGCAAGGCUGAAACUUAAAGGAAUUGGCGGGGGAGCACACAACGGGUGGAGCUUGCGGUUUAAUUGGAUUCAACGCCGG